This 212-nucleotide long non-coding RNA is filed under the name Elaeis guineensis (African oil palm). RNAcentral describes it as "long non-coding RNA (EGUI_LNC005569)". Lineage: Eukaryota; Viridiplantae; Streptophyta; Magnoliopsida; Arecales; Arecaceae. The record is from RNAcentral.
CGUGUGGUACAAUUAAUAACCUCGUGACUUCCCAUUAUGGCGCACAGCCAGCCACCCAAGAUAUAGCUCUUGAGUGACGUGACUUGAUGCAACCCGAUAGGAUAGUAUGGCGGCCACAUUUAGCAUUCGGUUGCUCGGCUGAUGCCUGUGCCAUGGGGUCCGAAAGUCGGAUGAAUGAGCCUAUGAAGCGGUGUCACCUGAUCGGAUAGUCG